Molecule: ribosomal RNA, 507 nt
Filed under: uncultured bacterium
Lineage: Bacteria
Description: partial 16S ribosomal RNA
Rfam family: Bacterial small subunit ribosomal RNA
Source: RNAcentral
GACGAACGCUGGCGGCGUGCCUAAUACAUGCAAGUCGAACGCAUUUUCUUUCACCGUAGCUUGCUACACCGAAAGAAAAUGAGUGGCGAACGGGUGAGUAACACGUGGGCAACCUGCCCAUCAGCGGGGGAUAACACUUGGAAACAGGUGCUAAUACCGCAUAAUUCCAUUUACCGCAUGGUAGAUGGAUGAAAGGCGCUUUUGCGUCACUGAUGGAUGGACCCGCGGUGCAUUAGCUAGUUGGUGGGGUAACGGCCUACCAAGGCUGCGAUGCAUAGCCGACCGGCGAGGGUGGUCAGCCACACUGGGACUGAGACACGGCCCAGACGCCUACGGGAGGCAGCAGGAGGGAAUCUUCGGCAAGGGACGCAAGUCUGACCGAGCAACGCCGCGGGAGUGAAGAAGGUUUUCGGAUCGUAAAACUCUGUUGUUAGAGAAGAACAAGGAUGAGAGUGGAAAGUUCAUCCCUUGACGGUAUCUAACCAGAAAGCCACGGCUAACUACGUG